UUUUUUUUUUUUUUUUUUUAAUUCUUCAGCUAAAACAGUGGAAAAGGUGAUUUAUUAUAUGGUUGUUACACUCGGCCACAAAUAAACACAGAAAUAGUCCAGAAUGUCACAGGUCCAGGGCAGAGGACCAACAUGGGCCAGCAUCCCCAGCGUCUGGCAUUCCAUGUUUCUGCUCCUGUGGCCUCCACGGUGCAACAAGCUAGCGGUUUACUU
Molecule: long non-coding RNA, 213 nt
Filed under: Homo sapiens (human)
Lineage: Eukaryota; Metazoa; Chordata; Mammalia; Primates; Hominidae
Description: HSALNT0369809
Source: RNAcentral